UGAGCUAUCCUUGGGCGGUAUGCUUAGUAUGCUAUCAUGGAUGGAUUGGAUUGGUUGGAUUGGAUUGGAUGGAGGUUGUUAUCGUGGCGGGUACUAAAUAUGCGUGAGCUAGUUUUGGCCGCAUGAUUUUUAGUCAUGUGCGAGCUAUCUUUGGUCGUAUAUUUAGAUGCCUUGCCAUGGUUGGUUUGGAUACAGGUAACGGUUAAGGACCAAGCAUUGGUUGUGCUUUCCUGACAGUGGUUGUAGUAUCUCAUUGUGUAGUAUAUACUUAUGCAUUCUAUUGUAUUAUUGGGUUAUUAAAAGAAACGAGAGUCAUGGUGAGAAUUUGAGUCUGAGAGGUCUUUUAUUAAAUUGUAAUUCCUUUGUAACUAGUUCGUAGUUGAAUAUAAACUUUGUUUGGGACUCUGGAUUAUGUUGGAUGAGUGUGUGGUGAGACACACUCGAGGAUAAUUGAGUUUUGAAAAGUAUAGAAGUGUGUCUUUCUUCUA
This is a long non-coding RNA of Cucumis melo (muskmelon), 488 nucleotides long. RefSeq lists it as uncharacterized. The record is from RefSeq and is a predicted model, not a curated record. The transcript has 2 exons. Lineage: Eukaryota; Viridiplantae; Streptophyta; Magnoliopsida; Cucurbitales; Cucurbitaceae.